CGACAGUGGCUCUGACUUUCUGUGACUACCACCAAGGUCUAUUGCAUGACUCUCUAUAUGUAAGUGUCUAACACUGCUCUCUAGAGACUAUAUUCCUUGAUCUGAUACCCACUUUGUGGCACACGUUCCUCCACUGUGCACAUUGUGUGCAGCACACACGUUAUUUUGUUUAUUUGCUUGUGUUUUAAUAUAGAUAUAACAAACUUUUUCCUCAUUGGACAUCUGAAGGCAAAGGGGGUCGUCAGCAUCUUUUUCUGGAAUCAUAUCAAAGAUGUGUCUACUCCAACCUCCAUGGUCUAAUCUGAAAGAAUUUAAAAAAAAUAUUGUUACUACCCAUGAUAGGGACGUUCCAAGUUAUGACAUGGACAAAAGAAAGUAUUGAGAGAGCCCUACACAGCAUGAGAUUGCCCAGCUGGGGUGUGGCUCGGUGAUACGGUGGUGCGACAUCCAGCGUCUCAGAAAGAAAACAAUACAGGUUUGAGAUGAGGUCCCUGAUUACCAUACUCUAAAUGCAUGAGCACUGUUGUCCAUUGAAACCUAAAAUAUAUGACAGGAGUGUAGGGAAUGGCAUCAUUGCUGAGCUUUAAGGAUGCUGUAGCUGCUAGCUUCCUUUCAUUGAAACCUAAUUUCUCCCGCGUCUUCUCUCAGCUGACUGCUGUUACACCCUAGAAAUGACAGUGCAGGACGCUGCGGCCCGAUGCUACUGAGCACUUGCAGUGAGGCUAGU
RNAcentral lists this long non-coding RNA (727 nucleotides) under Rattus norvegicus (Norway rat). RNAcentral describes it as "long non-coding RNA NONRATT032610". Lineage: Eukaryota; Metazoa; Chordata; Mammalia; Rodentia; Muridae. The record is from RNAcentral.